RNAcentral lists this ribosomal RNA (253 nucleotides) under uncultured bacterium. RNAcentral's name for it is "partial 16S ribosomal RNA". It matches the Rfam family "Bacterial small subunit ribosomal RNA", at positions 524 to 776 of the family's 1533-position model. The record is from RNAcentral.
UACGUAGGGGGCAAGCGUUGUCCGGAUUUACUGGGCGUAAAGAGCGUGUAGGCGGCCACGCAGGUCCGUUGUGAAAACUGGAGGCUCAACCUCCAGACGUCGACGGAAACCGUAUGGCUAGAGUCCGGAAGAGGAGAGUGGAAUUCCUGGUGUAGCGGUGAAAUGCGCAGAUAUCAGGAAGAACACCAACGGCGAAGGCAGCUCGCUAGGACGGUACUGACGCUGAGACGCGAAAGCGUGGGGAGCGAACAGG